AUUCACCGAAAGAAGCUUAGUGGCGAACGGGUGAGUAACACGUAGGCGACCUACCCAAAAGAGGGGGAUAACACUUGGAAACAGGUGCUAAUACCGCAUAACCAUGAACACCGCAUGAUGUUCGUGUAAAAGACGGCUUUUGCUGUCACUUUUGGAUGGGCCUGCGGCGUAUUAACUUGUUGGUGGGGUAACGGCCUACCAAGGUGAUGAUACGUAGCCGAACUGAGAGGUUGAUCGGCCACAUUGGGACUGAGACACGGCCCAAACUCCUACGGGAGGCAGCAGUAGGGAAUCUUCCACAAUGGACGAAAGUCUUAUGGAGCAACGCCGCGUGAAUGAAGAAGGCCUUCGGGUCGUAAAACUCUGUUGUCAGAGAAGAAUGUGCGUGAGAGUAACUGUUCACGUAUUGACGGUAUCUGACCAGAAAGCCACGGCUAACUACGUGCCAGCAGCCGCGGUAAUACGUAAGUGGCAAGCGUUGUCCGGAUUUAUUGGGCGUAAAGGGAACGCAGGCGGUCUUUUAAGUCUGAUGUGAAAGCCUUCGGCUUAACCGAAGUAGUGCAUUGGAAACUGGAAGACUUGAGUGCAGAAGAGGAGAGUGGAACUCCAUGUGUAGCGGUGAAAUGCGUAGAUAUAUGGAAGAACACCAGUGGCGAAAGCGGCUCUCUGGUCUGUAACUGACGCUGAGGUUCGAAAGCGUGGGUGGCAAACAGGAUUAGAUACCCUGGUAGUCCACGCCGUAAACGAUGAGUGCUAAGUGUUGGAGGGCUUCCGCCCUUCAGUGCUGCAGCUAACGCAUUAAGCACUCCGCCUGGGGAGUACGGUCGCAAGACUGAAACUCAAAGGAAUUGACGGGGGCCCGCACAAGCGGUGGAGCAUGUGGUUUAAUUCGAAGCAACGCGAAGAACCUUACCAGGUCUUGACAUCUUCUGACAAUUCCAGAGAUGGAACGUUCCCUUCGGGGACAGAAUGACAGGUGGUGCAUGGUUGUCGUCAGCUCGUGUCGUGAGAUGUUGGGUUAAGUCCCGCAACGAGCGCAACCCUUAUUGUCAGUUGCCAUCAUUAAGUUGGGCACUCUGGCGAGACUGCCGGUGACAAACCGGAGGAAGGUGGGGAUGACGUCAAAUCAUCAUGCCCCUUAUGACCUGGGCUACACACGUGCUACAAUGGACGGUACAACGAGUCGCUAACUCGCGAGGGCGAGCUAAUCUCUUAAAGCCGUUCUCAGUUCGGAUUGCAGGCUGCAACUCGCCUGCAUGAAGUCGGAAUCGCUAGUAAUCGCGAAUCAGCAUGUCGCGGUGAAUACGUUCCCGGGCCUUGUACACACCGCCCGUCACACCAUGAGAGUUUGUAACACCCAAAGUCGGUGGGGUAACCUUUUGGAGCCAGCCGCCUAAGGUGGGACAGAUGAUUGGGGUGAAGUCGUAACAAGGUA
RNAcentral lists this ribosomal RNA (1435 nucleotides) under metagenome. RNAcentral describes it as "bacterial SSU rRNA". It matches the Rfam family "Bacterial small subunit ribosomal RNA". The record is from RNAcentral.